UGACCGGUGGCCCAAGUAGCAUAAUCAUUUGUCUUUUAAUUAAAGGCUUGUAUGAAUGGUUGGAUGAGAUAUAAUCUAUUUUUAUUUAAUUAAAAAUGAAUUUUAAUUUUUAGUAAAAAUGCUAAAAUAAAAAAUAUAGACGAGAAGACCCUAUAAAUCUUUAUUAUUUUUUUAUUAAUUUAUUAAUAGAAUAUUAAAUUUAUUAGUAUAAAAAUAAUUUUAUUGGGGUGAUAAUGAAAUUUAAUAAACUUUUAUUUUAUUUUAUAAAUAUAAUUAAUUUAAUGAUCCAUUUUUAAUGAUUAUAAAAUUAAGUUACUUUAGGGAUAACAGCGUAAUUAUUUUAAAGAGUUCAUAUCGAUAAAAUAGUUUGCGACCUCGAUGUUGAAUUAAGAGUAAGUUUAGGUGUAGAAGUUAA
RNAcentral lists this ribosomal RNA (415 nucleotides) under Culicoides oxystoma. RNAcentral describes it as "partial 16S ribosomal RNA". Lineage: Eukaryota; Metazoa; Arthropoda; Insecta; Diptera; Ceratopogonidae. The record is from RNAcentral.